This 465-nucleotide ribosomal RNA is filed under the name uncultured bacterium. Its description in RNAcentral is "partial 16S ribosomal RNA". It matches the Rfam family "Bacterial small subunit ribosomal RNA", at positions 338 to 795 of the family's 1533-position model. The record is from RNAcentral.
CCUACGGGAGGCAGCAGUGGGGAAUAUUGCACAAUGGGGGAAACCCUGCUGCAGCGACGCCGCGUGAGCGAUGAAGUAUUUCGGUAUGUAAAGCUCUAUCAGCAGGGAAGAAAAUGCAUAUAAGUAACUGUGUAUGUAUUGACGGUACCUGUAUAAGCAGCCCCGGCUAACUCCGUGCCAGCAGCCGCUGUAAUACGGAGGGGGCGAGCGUUGUUCGGAGUGACUGGGCGUAAAGAGCACGUAGGCGGUGUUGUAAGUCAUUAGUCAAAGACUAGAGCUCAACUUUAGUAAGGCUAGUGAUACUAUAAUACUAGAGUAUCAGAGAGGAUUGCAGAAUUCCUGGUGUAGCGGUGAAAGGCGUAGAUAUCAGGAGGAAUACCGUUAGCGAAGGCGGCAAUCUGGCUGGAAACUGACGCUGAGGUGCGAAAGCGUGGGUAGCAAACAGGAUUAGAUACCCUUGUAGUC